UAUUUUGGCAGAUUAGUGUGAUUGAUUUAGAAUCAAUUUAAGUAAGGUUUUUUACAGGUAAUAU
Molecule: transfer RNA, 64 nt
Filed under: Cautires simillimus
Lineage: Eukaryota; Metazoa; Arthropoda; Insecta; Coleoptera; Lycidae
Description: tRNA-Leu
Source: RNAcentral